AUUGAACGCUGGCGGCAGGCCUAACACAUGCAAGUCGAGCGGAUGAAGGGAGCUUGCUCCUGGAUUCAGCGGCGGACGGGUGAGUAAUGUCUAGGAAUCUGCCUGGUAGUGGGGGAUAACGUCCGGAAACGGGCGCUAAUACCGCAUACGUCCUGAGGGAGAUAGUGGGGGAUCUUCGGACCUCACGCUAUCAGAUGAGCCUAGGUCGGAUUAGCUAGUUGGUGGGGUAAAGGCCUACCAAGGCGACGAUCCGUAACUGGUCUGAGAGGAUGAUCAGUCACACUUGAACUGAGACACGGUCCAGACUCCUACGGGAGGCAGCAGUGGGGAAUAUUGGACGAUGGGCUGAAGCCUGAUCCAGCCAAGCCGCGUGUGUGAAGAAGGUCUUCGGAUUGUAAAGCACUUUAAGUUGGGAGGAAGAGCAGUAAGUUAAUACCUUGCUGUUUUGACGUUACCAACAGAAUAAGCACCGGCUAACUUCGUG
This 484-nucleotide ribosomal RNA is filed under the name uncultured bacterium. RNAcentral describes it as "partial 16S ribosomal RNA". It matches the Rfam family "Bacterial small subunit ribosomal RNA", at positions 30 to 507 of the family's 1533-position model. The record is from RNAcentral.